AUUGAACGCUGGCGGCAUGCCUUACACAUGCAAGUCGAACGGAUUCAAGGGGCUUGCUCCUUGAGUUAGUGGCGAACGGGUGAGUAAUGCAUCGGAACGUACCCAGUUGUGGGGGAUAACGUAGCGAAAGUUACGCUAAUACCGCAUACGACCUGAGGGUGAAAGCGGGGGAUCGCAAGACCUCGCGCAAUUGGAGCGGCCGAUGUCAGAUUAGCUAGUUGGUAGGGUAAAAGCCUACCAAGGCGACGAUCUGUAGCUGGUCUGAGAGGACGACCAGCCACACUGGGACUGAGACACGGCCCAGACUCCUACGGGGGGCAGCAGUGGGGAAUUUUGGACAAGGGGGGAAACCCUGAUCCAGCCAUGCCGCGUGAGUGAAGAAGGCCUUCGGGUUGUAAAGCUCUUUCGGACAGAAAGAAAUCUUUUGGGCUAAUACCCUGAGAGGAUGACGGUACUGUAAGAAGAAGCACCGGCCAACUACGUGCCAGCAGCCGCCGUAA
RNAcentral lists this ribosomal RNA (500 nucleotides) under uncultured bacterium. RNAcentral's name for it is "partial 16S ribosomal RNA". It matches the Rfam family "Bacterial small subunit ribosomal RNA", at positions 30 to 523 of the family's 1533-position model. The record is from RNAcentral.